Molecule: transfer RNA, 73 nt
Filed under: Actinoplanes regularis
Lineage: Bacteria; Bacillati; Actinomycetota; Actinomycetes; Micromonosporales; Micromonosporaceae
Rfam family: tRNA
About the family: Transfer RNA (tRNA) molecules are approximately 80 nucleotides in length. Their secondary structure includes four short double-helical elements and three loops (D, anti-codon, and T loops).
Source: Rfam by way of RNAcentral
GGGGCCUUAGCUCAAUUGGCAGAGCACCGCCUUUGCAAGGCGGGGGUUAGGGGUUCAAGUCCCCUAGGCUCCA